Molecule: ribosomal RNA, 465 nt
Filed under: uncultured Klebsiella sp.
Lineage: Bacteria; Pseudomonadati; Pseudomonadota; Gammaproteobacteria; Enterobacterales; Enterobacteriaceae
Description: bacterial SSU rRNA
Rfam family: Bacterial small subunit ribosomal RNA
Source: RNAcentral
CCUACGGGGGGCUGCAGUGGGGAAUAUUGCACAAUGGGCGCAAGCCUGAUGCAGCCAUGCCGCGUGUGUGAAGAAGGCCUUCGGGUUGUAAAGCACUUUCAGCGGGGAGGAAGGCGGUGAGGUUAAUAACCUCAUCGAUUGACGUUACCCGCAGAAGAAGCACCGGCUAACUCCGUGCCAGCAGCCGCGGUAAUACGGAGGGUGCAAGCGUUAAUCGGAAUUACUGGGCGUAAAGCGCACGCAGGCGGUCUGUCAAGUCGGAUGUGAAAUCCCCGGGCUCAACCUGGGAACUGCAUUCGAAACUGGCAGGCUAGAGUCUUGUAGAGGGGGGUAGAAUUCCAGGUGGAGCGGUGAAAUGCGUAGAGAUCUGGAGGAAUACCGGUGGCGAAGGCGGCCCCCUGGACAAAGACUGACGCUCAGGUGCGAAAGCGUGGGGAGCAAACAGGAUUAGAUACCCGAGUAGUC